Long non-coding RNA from Salvia miltiorrhiza (redroot sage), 1134 nucleotides. RefSeq lists it as uncharacterized. The transcript is spliced from 5 exons. The record is from RefSeq and is a predicted model, not a curated record. Lineage: Eukaryota; Viridiplantae; Streptophyta; Magnoliopsida; Lamiales; Lamiaceae.
AUAUUCCUUUGGUUCAUAUUGGAAAAUGGAAAAUGGAAAAUGGAAAAAGAAAAUAACGAAAUAUUACAUUGCUCCAACUGCCUCUAAGUUCUUUCUUUUCCCAUGCCCAGAAAAACCCUAGGCUAAAUCCCCAAAUCCACAACGAGAAAGCUUUCAUCUUCGAUUUCGCGCUGCCGCGGAUGAGAAACCACAUUUUUUCGCUGCCGAUUCUUGCUUAGAAUGGUUUAUAUCUAUUUAUCUUUCGCCUCAUUUUUAUUUCUUUCUCCACCGCAAUUUCGCGCUGCCGCAGAUGAGAAGCCACAAUUUUUCGGUGUCGAUUUUUGCUUUGAAUGGCUGAGCUGUUAAUAAUUAUACUAAGGAGACUUCCAGAAGAUAUCACUAUACACAAUGAGGAUUUAGAAGAACUUGCCUUGCUCCACUCGAGAGGCUGAAGUUGGAGUAUAUAGUUUAUGGCGAGAAGUGGGACUUGUACAUGCUCAUCAAAAGAAUAGCAACACAAGGCUUGACAGGCUUUUAGAAGGGAAUUUGUUUAACAUACUGCGUACUGCACCUUUCAAGGCAAUUAAUUUUUGUGCUUAUGAUACACAUAGGAAGCAGCUUCUAAAAUUAUUCGGAAAUGAGGAAACCACGAAUUCUGAGAUAUUGAUUGCGGGUGUUGCAGCUGGUAUCAUGCUUUGCCCCUGGAUACUGUCUUUCAAGAAAUUUGAACUACAUACUCGUGUAUAUUUGGUGCGAAAUGGAUUGAAAGGACAGGCUAGGAAGAACGAACUUGGAACGAAAGACUUGGACAAUGCAAGGUGAGCAUCAAAGUGUGCGGUUGACCUUGAAACUGGAGAGGACAUGCAACAAGACAAUGAGGAAACUCCUUAUUUUUUGUGACGCGCUUAAAUGGUGCAAAUGCUCUCCGACUGCCAAAACAAACAAUCCAUAUUUGCUAAUGUUUCGGUCUAUCUGUAAUUUUUUGUUAGCAAUAGCACUAUUGUCAUUCUUAAAUUUUGUAUUGUACCUUCAUUGUUCAAUUGCUUUGCUGCUUCAAAUUUUGAGUAGUUGGUGUAAAUGUUGCAAGGAUGCCUAAUGUGUGUAGCCACUAUUUUUUGGGAAUUUCAUAUUUCUGUAUUUACAUUGUUUGGAUGA